GACGAACGCUGGCGGCGUGCUUAACACAUGCAAGUCGAACAGAAAGGCCUGCUUUCCCUUGUGGAUUGCGGAUACUCGAGUGGCGAACGGGUGAGUAACACGUGAGUGAUCUGCCCCCAACUUGGGUAUAAGCCUGGGAAACUGGGUCUAAUUCCCGAUAGGACUGCAGGGUGGUGCCUGUGGUGGAAAACGAUUUUCUAGUGGUUGGGGAUGAGCUCGCGGCCUAUCAGCUUGUUGGUGGGGUAAUGGCCUACCAAGGCGGCGACGGGUAGCCGGCCUGAGAGGGUGGACGGCCACAUUGGGACUGAGAUACGGCCCAGACUCCUACGGGAGGCAGCAGUGGGGAAUAUUGCACAAUGGGCGGAAGCCUGAUGCAGCGACGCCGCGUGGGGGAUGACGGCCUUCGGGUUGUAAACUCCUUUCGACCGCGAGGAAGCCACCUGGUUGGAAGGGUGGUGACGGUAGUGGUAGAAGAAGCACCGGCUAACUACGUG
This 494-nucleotide ribosomal RNA is filed under the name uncultured bacterium. RNAcentral describes it as "partial 16S ribosomal RNA". It matches the Rfam family "Bacterial small subunit ribosomal RNA", at positions 28 to 507 of the family's 1533-position model. The record is from RNAcentral.